Molecule: long non-coding RNA, 168 nt
Organism: Hibiscus syriacus
Lineage: Eukaryota; Viridiplantae; Streptophyta; Magnoliopsida; Malvales; Malvaceae
Exons: 2
Source: RefSeq, a predicted model, not a curated record
UGAGGGUAGAGACGGAGGGCAUAUGUAGGGGACAUAUAUUUUUGGAUCAAGGAUUGAAAAAAUCGAACGGAAGCAAUCCGUGGACGGGAUAUUCCCCAAUAUCCGUUGCAUGGACAGUCAAUGUGGAUGAAGUCCUUAAUUACAUUAAACAAGAGUUGAUGAAACCAU